Long non-coding RNA from Danaus plexippus (monarch butterfly), 1611 nucleotides. RefSeq lists it as uncharacterized. NCBI's taxonomy places the organism in Eukaryota, Metazoa, Arthropoda, Insecta, Lepidoptera, Nymphalidae. The record is from RefSeq and is a predicted model, not a curated record. The transcript is spliced from 2 exons.
UAUAUAUAUAUAUCGGCGCAAGCAGCUUCAACGACGGAUGCAACAUGAAAAUAACUGGCACCAAUUAUUAUAACACCUUAUUGGUCGUCGUUACUAUUGUUAAAAGGACUGCAGAGUUCAGCGAGUGCGGAGCAUAAAGAACCUUCGAGAAAUACAAGAACAUUUAGAAGAAUUGAAGUUUCAUUUUAAAAUAUCUGGAACUUACUGAAACAAGUGACAUUAGAGACGUCAGCGAGGCUGGCGUCCUGUCUUUAAAAUAAUGAAUUUGUAAUAAAAUCCGAUAUCAGAAGUGGGAUCGCUCCUGUGAUCAGUUACUGCCGGUCUUAGUGUAUUUGUAAAUCCUGAUCGAGCUCAAGAAAAUAAUCAUCCGGAAAACUUGCGUAAUGAAGAACGCUCCUCAGUCUUUCAUGCAAAUGAUGUCAACAAUGCAGAGCGUGACCGAACGUUUGCUACUAAAAAAACAAGGGAUACGAUUAAAAUUACUAACAAGAUCAUAUUAAUUUUAUCAUCUUUUGAUCCCGGUGAUAGUGUGUGUGUUCGGGAUUGAUUCAAACGCAUCUUUACGGCUGUAAAUACGUACCAAAUCAGUAACUACGACAUUCGAAUUAAAGUCUUUUAAAGGAGUGAGCUAGAAAGUGUGCAGACGAUUGGUUAGUUGCAACAUCUACACAAGAGGCAUUACGUGAGACCAUAGCUAACAUUUGUUAUUAUGCUUUGAGCUAACCUCGUGUCCAUGAUGUAUUCUCAAGAGAACCAUGAGAUUCUGUAGGGAAGGCUUGUGGUACCGUGACAAGACAAUUAUACACCACCGAUCUGGAGAGCGUGACCUCUGAGCUAAUCACGUGUUACCCUUGAGCUAACCACGGGUCCUUGAUGUAUCCAUAAGAGAACCAUGAGAUUCCGUAGGGAUGCCUUGUGGAGCCGUGAGAAGACAAGUCUACACCACAGAUGUGGAGAGCGUACCUCUGAACUAAUCGCGUGUUACUCUUGAGCCAACCACAGGUCCUUGCUGUAUCCUUAAGAAUACCAUGAGAUGACGUAGGGAGGCCUUGGGAAGACUUGAGUAUAAAGUUCCAGGUUUUGAAACGACUACUGAUAUAUUAACCGGAGCAGAUUUAUUACGUGAUAAGAAUACAUGUGGAAAAUUUAGUAUCCUUGCCGAUGUUUUGCACAUACGAACAAGUCAAUUAUGCUUUGACAGUUUAGAUUACAAUUCAACAAUCAGUCCGUUUAAAUCGAAGUAAUGCACCAACACAUUCAAAACAGGAUGGUCGAGGCGGAGAGAAGAUACAAAGCUAGGUUUUUGAGAGGUCGAGCUACGAUUAAAAGAUUCCAGAAGGGAGAUAUUGUAAUAAUAAAAAUAUAGCCCCAGAAAUCGGAUAUCCCUAUAUUUAAAAUUUUGUGAACUAUACAAAAUCCAGAAAAUAAUUGAGAAUGAUUAAUAUCUUGUAAAGUGAUUUUAGACAAUGGAUGACUUCGAAAUGUGGCACAUGACCAGCUACGAAUGUGGCACUUGACCAGCUACGAUGAGACUUCACAGCAUCUGAGGGACGACACAGAAUUACUAAGCAAGCAGUUAGGUGGACGGUUCGCCUACCUAAUAGUUAUCCG